Molecule: long non-coding RNA, 1885 nt
Filed under: Monodelphis domestica (gray short-tailed opossum)
Lineage: Eukaryota; Metazoa; Chordata; Mammalia; Didelphimorphia; Didelphidae
Description: lncRNA (ENSMODG00000046205.1)
Source: RNAcentral
CAUUUGUACUUUUCCAUUGGGUAUUUAAAAAGCAUCUAACAUUCAAGGUUUCAACAACCAUAUAAAAUUUUUUUCCCAAUCACUAAUGGUUGGAGAAAUGCAAAUUAAAGCAGCUCUGAGAUUGUAUCACACACACUCAGCAGAUUGGCAAAGAUGAUAAGAGAGGAAUAUGCCAAAGGGCCUGAGAGAAAUCAUAUAUGCUAUUGUACUUUUGGUGGAAGUAGGAGUUGGUUAAUUCUGAAAAAAGUAAUUUGGUAUUCUGUGCAAAAAAGAUACCAUACCUUCAUAUCCUUUGACCCAAAAAUACUACUAUGAAGCUUAUAUCACAAGAAAAGAAUAUUUUAUAGUAGUUUUUUUGUAGUGGCAAAGAAUUGAAAAUUAAAUAGGAAUAGCUAACAAAAUCAUAGCAUAUGUAUAUAAUAGAAUAUUAUUAUGCUGGAAAGAAAUGACAAAAUAGACAAGUUCAGAGAGAAAACUAGUAAGACCUCUAUGAACUGAUGCAGAGUUAAAUGAGCAGAACCAGGAGAUCAAUUUAAAGAAUUAAUGCCAACAGUAGUAUUUGAACGACUUUAUAAGUCUGAUCAAUACAAUGAAAAACCAUGAUUCCAGAAGAUGCCAGAGAUGAUGGAUGUAUUUAAAAUUCAGAAUAAGGUGUAUUUUUUUUUGACAUGGCCAAUAUGGAAACCUUUUUUAUUUGUUUUGUUUUGUUUUGAUUAAGCCUAUAUCUUAUCAGGUUUUUUUUUUAAUUUUUUAAUUGUUCAGUGGGAAGUGUAGAGAGGACAGAAAGAAAAUAAAGGUUAGUAAUUUGAAAGAAGGGAAAAAGAUAAAUGUAUUUAAAUGUUUUUAAUUCCAGAAUCUAUUUCUAUAGGUCUGCCAGUUGCCAGAGUGGAGAAGACAGAUUUAUCCCAUGUGAUGAAACUGGAGUAGGUGGGGAAAGACACUUCAGGGAGGAUGUAACUGUGGAAGUGUUCCCUAACUUAAUUCAUCUGAAAAUAGUUGGAGUGUGAUACAGCAGAAAGACAACUUUGAAAUCAAAGGAUGUAUAUGUAUGUGGUGAUUUAAGGUUUGUAAUACAUUUUACAAAUAUUAUCUCGUUUUAUCCUCCCAGCUAUCCUGGGAGGUAACAAUAAUAUCCUUAUUUUACAAAUGGGGAAAUUAAGGUACAUAAUUAAGUGACCAUGUUUUUCUGAAACCAUCCUGCUCAUCAUUUCUUAUAACAUUUAUAGCACUAUUCCAUCACAAUCAGAUAUCACAAUUUGUUCAGUCAACAGUGCAUUAGUGUCCCACUUUUUCCACAGCCACUCCAACAUUUGUCAUUUUCCUCUUCUGUCAUGUUACCCAAUAUCAUAGGUGUGAGGUGGUAUCUCAGAAUUGUUUUCAUUUGCAAUUCUCUGAUCAAUAGAGAUUUAAAACUUUUUUUUUCAUUUGAUUAUUGAUAGCUUGGGUCAGAGAGGUGAUAGAGUGAAUAGAGUGCCAGGCCUAGAGUCAGGAAAAGUCAUCUUCCUGAAUUCAAAUCUGACCUCAUACAACUGUAGGCUGUGUGACCCUGAGCAAGUCCUUUAACCCUGCUUGCCUCAGUUUCCUAAUCUGUAGAAUGAGCUAGAGGAGGAAAUGGCAAAUCAUUCUAGGUAUCUUUGCCAAGAAAAUCCAAAAUAGGGAACCAAAGCACCAGACAUGACUGAAAACAACUAAACAACAAAAACUGUUAACUUUGAUUUGUUCUUCUAAAAAAAUGCCUAUUCAAAUCCUUUGGCCAUUUAUCAACUGGGAAAUGACUUAUUUUUAAGAAUUUGGUUCAGUUGUCUAUACAUUUGAGAAAUGAAAACUUUAUCAGAGAAACUUGCUCUAAAUUUUUUCCAGUUUCCUGUUUUCAUUCUAAUUUUGG